CAAAAAGGUUUUGCUCAUUCCGGAUAAAGAACGAGUGCUCAGUGUAUGGCUUUGGAAAGAAGACUGGACGUUCUGGACUGCCUCGAAACAGAGUGCCCUCAUGGGUUUACUCACAGAGGAACUGGGCUGUGAGGUGUAGUGACUGAAGGUUCAGAUGCAAUACCUGCCUGUGACUCCAGGAUGUAAGGUCUUUGACUAAAAACAGAGCUUGAAAAUGACUUGGAAAUCAGCAGCACUAGAGGGAAAGCAAAGAGCAAGUUCUUGUCCCAGGGAAGAGAAAUUUAUCUGAUAUGAACCCGGAG
Mauremys reevesii (Reeves's turtle) is the source of this 302-nucleotide long non-coding RNA. RefSeq lists it as uncharacterized. The record is from RefSeq and is a predicted model, not a curated record. The transcript has 3 exons. NCBI's taxonomy places the organism in Eukaryota, Metazoa, Chordata, Testudines, Geoemydidae.